UGCGUAGGCGGUUAGAUAAGUCAGAGGUGAAAGCCCGCAGCUUAACUGUGGAAUUGCCUUUGAUACUGCUUAACUUGAAUCAGGUUGAGGUUGGCGGAAUGUGACAUGUAGCGGUGAAAUGCAUAGAUAUGUCAUAGAACACCAAUUGCGAAGGCAGCUAACUAGACCUGUAUUGACGCUGAGGCACGAAAGCGUGGGGAGCGAACAGGAUUAGAUACCCUGGUAGUCC
This 229-nucleotide ribosomal RNA is filed under the name uncultured bacterium. RNAcentral's name for it is "partial 16S ribosomal RNA". It matches the Rfam family "Bacterial small subunit ribosomal RNA", at positions 568 to 796 of the family's 1533-position model. The record is from RNAcentral.